Molecule: long non-coding RNA, 990 nt
Organism: Cydia pomonella (codling moth)
Lineage: Eukaryota; Metazoa; Arthropoda; Insecta; Lepidoptera; Tortricidae
Exons: 2
Source: RefSeq, a predicted model, not a curated record
CCCACAACCCAUCACAUCAGGACGACCAAGCGUGGAUGAGAGCAUGGGAGGCUCAGCACAGUGUAGGUAGACAACACCAUUUUUGAGUUAGACCCAGGGAAACGGCCUCAAGGGUUCACGGAAAGCCGAGAAAUAUGGUGCAGACUUAACCGCCUCAGAACUGGCUUCGGUAACUGUGCGUACCUCUGGCACAAGUGGGGGUGGAGCGAGUCGGCGGCGUGCGAAUGCGGACACCCAGAGCAGACGGUGCAGCACAUGGUACUCGAGUGCCCCGUCACGAAAUACAACGGACCACCUGAGGAUUUUAAACACCUGACAAAAGAUGCGAGUAUUUAUCUGCAGAAAUGUAAAUUUUGAAUUAAGUUUUUUAUAUGUAUGUAACCAGUGUGUAAACGCCAUACGAUAAAUAAAUAAAUAAGUAUCGGUGAUCUUAAAUAACAAUUAGCUUCAGUAUAAUUUCAUAACUUCAGUGAGAAAAUUAUCGGUUAGUCUUUAGUUAUUGUGUACUCAGUUGUGACCUAGAGGCCGCAUGUGUUUUUGGUUACUUAGCGCAUGACUUUUUGGUGGUCGAUAAGAACGGCUGCAAUGGCAGUGCGCGGAUAAGCAUUGCACUAAGUAAUUCAGUGCAUUUGAUAAGGAGAAAUUUAGACACGCAGUUAGUAAGUUAUAAUUUAAAGCAUCAAAAUUUUGUAUAUCUAACUCAGUGCUUCUAAUUUCAGAUAUGAGGAAACGACUAAAGACAUUGACCCCGUCAGAUGCCAAAAAAACGUACCAAAUGGUGAAAGAAUUGAAAAGUGCUGAGGAGAAGAUCAACGAAGCUGUCAAAAGGACCGACGAAAUCAAAUUAAGUCAACUUAAAGCUAAAUUGUAUCCCGCUCCUAAACCCCCUGACUACUUUUAUAUUCCCAAACAAUAAAUUUGUCUUAAAAGUAUUUUUAAGUUUACAACAAAUUAUAAUUUGAAUAUGAAAUAAAUCAUGAUCUCGCUGUA